ACGCCCAGUUAAAUUUGAAUUUCAAAUAAAAAAGUAAUAUUUUUUUUAGUGUAAGUAUGCCCCUACAAUAUUUGGGACAUACUUAUACUAAAAAAGUAUUCGUCGUUUAUCUGAAAUUCAAAUUUAAUCGGUCGCCUGU
Molecule: microRNA precursor, 139 nt
Filed under: Dasypus novemcinctus (nine-banded armadillo)
Lineage: Eukaryota; Metazoa; Chordata; Mammalia; Cingulata; Dasypodidae
Description: miRNA (ENSDNOG00000048885.1)
Source: RNAcentral